RNAcentral lists this ribosomal RNA (253 nucleotides) under uncultured bacterium. RNAcentral's name for it is "partial 16S ribosomal RNA". It matches the Rfam family "Bacterial small subunit ribosomal RNA", at positions 524 to 776 of the family's 1533-position model. The record is from RNAcentral.
UACGUAGGGGGCUAGCGUUGUCCGGAAUCAUUGGGCGUAAAGCGCGUGUAGGCGGCCCGGUAAGUCCGCUGUGAAAGUCGGGGGCUCAACCCUCGAAUGCCGGUGGAUACUGUCGGGCUAGAGUGCGGAGGAGGCGAGUGGAAUUCCUGGUGUAGCGGUGAAAUGCGCAGAUAUCAGGAGGAACACCGGUGGCGAAGGCGGGUCUCUGGGCCGAUACUGACGCUGAGGAGCGAAAGCGUGGGGAGCGAACAGG